GGGUGUAGCUCAGUGGCAGAGCAUUUCCUCGCAUGCAUGCAGCCCUGGGUUCAAUCCCCAGCACUGCCA
RNAcentral lists this transfer RNA (69 nucleotides) under Dipodomys ordii (Ord's kangaroo rat). It matches the Rfam family "tRNA". Rfam says of the family: Transfer RNA (tRNA) molecules are approximately 80 nucleotides in length. Their secondary structure includes four short double-helical elements and three loops (D, anti-codon, and T loops). Further hydrogen bonds mediate the characteristic L-shaped molecular structure. tRNAs have two regions of fundamental functional importance: the anti-codon, which is responsible for specific mRNA codon recognition, and the 3' end, to which the tRNAs corresponding amino acid is attached (by aminoacyl-tRNA synthetases). tRNAs cope with the degeneracy of the genetic code in two manners: having more than one tRNA (with a specific anti-codon) for a particular amino acid; and 'wobble' base-pairing, i.e. permitting non-standard base-pairing at the 3rd anti-codon position. Lineage: Eukaryota; Metazoa; Chordata; Mammalia; Rodentia; Heteromyidae. The record is from Rfam by way of RNAcentral.